CCUACGGGCGGCAGCAGUGAGGAAUAUUGGUCAAUGGGCGGAAGUCUGAACCAGCCAAGUAGCGUGAAGGAUGAAGGCCCUAUGGGUUGUAAACUGCUUUUACAGGGGAAUAAAAUGUUCCACGUGUGGGGGUUUGCAGGUACCAUAUGAAUAAGGGUCGGCUAACUCCGUGCCAGCCGCCGCGGUAAUACGGAGGGUCCGAGCGUUAUACGGAUUUAUUGGGUCUAAAGGGAGCGUAGAUGGGUUGUUAAGUUAGUUGUGAAAGUGUGCGGCUCAACCGUAAACGUGCAUUUGAUACUGGCCGUCUUGAGUACAGUUCAGGCAGGCGGAAUUCGUGGUGUAGCGGUGAAAUGCUUAGAUAUCACGAAGAACCCCGAUUGCGAAGGCAGCCUGCUAGACUGCGACUGACAUUGAUGCUCGAAAGUGCGGGUAUCAAACAGGAUUAGAUACCCCUGUAGUC
Molecule: ribosomal RNA, 460 nt
Filed under: uncultured bacterium
Lineage: Bacteria
Description: partial 16S ribosomal RNA
Rfam family: Bacterial small subunit ribosomal RNA
Source: RNAcentral